Molecule: ribosomal RNA, 669 nt
Filed under: Triticum aestivum (bread wheat)
Lineage: Eukaryota; Viridiplantae; Streptophyta; Magnoliopsida; Poales; Poaceae
Description: partial small subunit ribosomal RNA
Source: RNAcentral
AUGUCCAAUGGCCAUUGGAAUUUUAUCUAUCCUUCUAUUUUUCAAGAUAAUUCAGAUUUGUUGGCGAAAAAGCGAAGAAAUAGGUUCGUCAUUCCAUUACAAUAUCAUCAAGAACAAGAGAAAGAACUAAUAUCCUGUUUUGGGAUUUCGAUUGAAAUCCCCCUUAUGGGGGUUUUAUGUAGAAAUACUAUUUUUGCUUAUUUUGACGAUCCCCAAUACAAAAAAGAGAAAAAGGGUUCAAGAAUUGUUAAAUUUAGAUAUAGGACCCUAGAAGAAGAAUAUAGGACUCAAGCGGAAGACUCUGAAGAGGAACAUGAGACCCUAGAAGACGAAUACAGGACCCGAGAGGACGAAUAUGAAUAUGAAACCCCAGAAGAAUCUAAAUAUGGAAUCCUAGAAGACGAAUACGAAUAUGAAACCCUAGAAGACGAAUAUGGGAGCCCAGAAAACGAAUAUGGGAACCCAGAGAACGAAUAUAGGACUUUAGAGAAAGACUCAGAAGAGGAAUAUGGGAGCCCAGAGAGCAACUAUAGGACCCAAGAGGACGAAUAUGGAACUCUAGAGGAAGACUCAGAAGACGAAUAUUGGUGGGCCAAUAAUGAAUUUUUUUGCAUAUGUAUUAAGACGCUUGGCCUCCAGUAUCCGAGACAGAAAGCAGCAUCCACGUGA